RNAcentral lists this ribosomal RNA (674 nucleotides) under Streptomyces parvulus. RNAcentral describes it as "bacterial SSU rRNA". It matches the Rfam family "Bacterial small subunit ribosomal RNA", at positions 97 to 784 of the family's 1533-position model. The record is from RNAcentral. Lineage: Bacteria; Bacillati; Actinomycetota; Actinomycetes; Kitasatosporales; Streptomycetaceae.
GGCGAACGGAUGAGUAACACGUGGGCAAUCUGCCCUGCACUCUGGGACAAGCCCUGGAAACGGGGUCUAAUACCGGAUACUGACCUUCACGGGCAUCUGUGAAGGUCGAAAGCUCCGGCGGUGCAGGAUGAGCCCGCGGCCUAUCAGCUUGUUGGUGAGGUAAUGGCUCACCAAGGCGACGACGGGUAGCCGGCCUGAGAGGGCGACCGGCCACACUGGGACUGAGACACGGCCCAGACUCCUACGGGAGGCAGCAGUGGGGAAUAUUGCACAAUGGGCGAAAGCCUGAUGCAGCGACGCCGCGUGAGGGAUGACGGCCUUCGGGUUGUAAACCUCUUUCAGCAGGGAAGAAGCGAAAGUGACGGUACCUGCAGAAGAAGCGCCGGCUAACUACGUGCCAGCAGCCGCGGUAAUACGUAGGGCGCAAGCGUUGUCCGGAAUUAUUGGGCGUAAAGAGCUCGUAGGCGGCUUGUCACGUCGGUUGUGAAAGCCCGGGGCUUAACCCCGGGUCUGCAGUCGAUACGGGCAGGCUAGAGUUCGGUAGGGGAGAUCGGAAUUCCUGGUGUAGCGGUGAAAUGCGCAGAUAUCAGGAGGAACACCGGUGGCGAAGGCGGAUCUCUGGCCGAUACUGACGCUGAGGAGCGAAAGCGUGGGGGAGCGAACAGGAUUAGAUA